This 1002-nucleotide ribosomal RNA is filed under the name uncultured bacterium. RNAcentral describes it as "bacterial SSU rRNA". It matches the Rfam family "Bacterial small subunit ribosomal RNA", at positions 356 to 1376 of the family's 1533-position model. The record is from RNAcentral.
GGGGAAUAUUGGGCAAUGGGGGAAACCCUGACCCAGCAACGCCGCGUGAAGGAAGAAGGCCUUCGGGUUGUAAACUUCUUUUACCAGGGACGAAGGACGUGACGGUACCUGGAGAAAAAGCAACGGCUAACUACGUGCCAGCAGCCGCGGUAAUACGUAGGUUGCAAGCGUUGUCCGGAUUUACUGGGUGUAAAGGGCGUGUAGGCGGAGAUGCAAGUUGGGAGUGAAAUCCAUGGGCUCAACCCAUGAACUGCUCUCAAAACUGUAUCCCUUGAGUAUCGGAGAGGCAAGCGGAAUUCCUAGUGUAGCGGUGAAAUGCGUAGAUAUUAGGAGGAACACCAGUGGCGAAGGCGGCUUGCUGGACGACAACUGACGCUGAGGCGCGAAAGCGUGGGGAGCAAACAGGAUUAGAUACCCUGGUAGUCCACGCUGUAAACGAUGAAUACUAGGUGUGGGAGGACUGACCCCUUCCGUGCCGCAGUUAACACAAUAAGUAUUCCACCUGGGGAGUACGACCGCAAGGUUGAAACUCAAAGGAAUUGACGGGGGCCCGCACAAGCAGUGGAUUAUGUGGUUUAAUUCGACGCAACGCGAAGAACCUUACCAGGAUUUGACAUCCAACUAACGAAGUAGAGAUACAUCAGGUACCCUUCGGGGGAAGUUGAGACAGGUGGCGCAUGGUUGUCGUCAGCUCGUGUCGUGAGAUGUUGGGUUAAGUCCCGCAACGAGCGCAACCCCUAUUGUUAGUUGCUACGAAAGAGCACUCUAGCGAGACUGCCGUUGACAAAACGGAGGAAGGCGGGGACGACGUCAAAUCAUCAUGCCCCUUAUGUCCUGGGCUACACACGUAAUACAAUGGCGGUCAACAGAGGGAAGCAAAGCCGCGAGGUGGAGCAAAUCCCUAAAAGCCGUCUCAGUUCGGAUUGCAGGCUGCAACUCGCCUGCAUGAAGCUGGAAUUGCUAGUAAUCGCGGAUCAGCAUGCCGCGGUGAAUACGUUCCCG